RNAcentral lists this long non-coding RNA (232 nucleotides) under Salvia miltiorrhiza (redroot sage). RNAcentral's name for it is "long non-coding RNA (SMIL_LNC014418)". The record is from RNAcentral. Lineage: Eukaryota; Viridiplantae; Streptophyta; Magnoliopsida; Lamiales; Lamiaceae.
CCUUCUCUCUUCUUCUCCGGCGGGUGCCACCCCCAUGGUCGCCGCCGCCUCCUCUCGCCCCUCCGGCCGCCGUCGUCGUGGUCUUCGCCGCGACCACCGCCGACCCUUUCCCUCUCCCUGGCCUCUGCUCUCUCCCUCUCGCCCCACCUCUGACCUCCAUGUCCCUCGUCUCAACUAUCUCCCUCUCGCCACCCCCAUGGCCGCCGGCGCCUAGAUCUGAGGUGGUGUGGUU